UAGUGGGAGGUUUGUUGAACUUGAGAAAGUUUAAAACCUACAAUCUAUCCAAAAUUCACCAAAUAGUUCUCAACCAGAUGUGCCCAUUGUUGAGGCAUAAUUACUAUACAUACCUCCUCUCCGAAGAUCAAGUAGAGUACGUAGUGUAUCACUUAGGUAUGGAUUUGUCAUUGAGAAUGACAACACAAUCCACAUUAUUAAGAAUGAUGAUCCUACAACC
Molecule: long non-coding RNA, 220 nt
Filed under: Elaeis guineensis (African oil palm)
Lineage: Eukaryota; Viridiplantae; Streptophyta; Magnoliopsida; Arecales; Arecaceae
Description: long non-coding RNA (EGUI_LNC053081)
Source: RNAcentral